This 212-nucleotide long non-coding RNA is filed under the name Lathyrus oleraceus (garden pea). RNAcentral's name for it is "Pisum sativum (pea) long non-coding RNA (PSAT_LNC006598)". The record is from RNAcentral. Lineage: Eukaryota; Viridiplantae; Streptophyta; Magnoliopsida; Fabales; Fabaceae.
AAAGUUUGGAGAGGGAGUAAGAUCAUUAUAUUCAAUGGAUUUGAGAACCAACCUGCAUAACGAUUUGAUAUUUUGAUUUUAGAGAAAUGGAGUGCAAAUAAAUACUAUGAACAUGAAAGAUUAUUAUUUAUUUAUGUUUUGUUGUGAUUACAAUUUUCAGAAAAAGAAAAAAGAAAAAAGAAAUAUCAUAGAUGUGGAUGAAUAAAAUUAUA